CUACGGGCGGCUCCAGUAAGGAAUAUUGCGCAAUGGAGGCAACUCUGACGCAGCCAUGCCGCGUGCAGGAAGAAGGCCUUAUGGGUCGUAAACUGCUUUUAUUUAGGAAUAAACCCCCGAACGUGUUCGGGGCUGAAGGUACUAAACGAAUAAGCACCGGCUAACUCCGUGCCAGCAGCCGCGGUAAUACGGAGGGUGCAAGCGUUAUCCGGAUUUAUUGGGUUUAAAGGGUGCGCAGGCGGGCGAUUAAGUCAGUGGUGAAAUCCCGGGGCUCAACUCCGGAACGGCCAUUGAUACUGAUAGUCUUGAGUUUGGUUGAAGUGGGCGGAAUGUAGCAUGUAGCGGUGAAAUGCAUAGAUAUGCUACAGAACACCAAUCGCGAAGGCAGCUCACUAAGCCAAAACUGACGCUCAUGCACGAAAGCGUGGGGAUCAAACAGGAUUAGAUACCCCUGUAGUC
RNAcentral lists this ribosomal RNA (459 nucleotides) under uncultured bacterium. RNAcentral describes it as "partial 16S ribosomal RNA". It matches the Rfam family "Bacterial small subunit ribosomal RNA", at positions 339 to 795 of the family's 1533-position model. The record is from RNAcentral.